Molecule: RNA transcript, 1988 nt
Organism: Zea mays
Lineage: Eukaryota; Viridiplantae; Streptophyta; Magnoliopsida; Poales; Poaceae
Exons: 4
Source: RefSeq, a predicted model, not a curated record
GGAGGUGUGGAGGCAGCAGCAGAAGCCAUUAGCCCCUAACCCUAACCAGUCGUGUCUCUCGCCCCCAGACGUUGCCUCCGCUAUUGCGCGUGUAGCAGUUGUGCCCUGCACCUCGCCCUUGCAAUAGGUGCACCCCUGCCAUGGCGGAUUCACCCCCAUCUCCUGUCGCCUCAGCCCGCGCUGCCAUCUCUUCUGCUCUCCCCCGCCUCUCUAGUUUGGAGCUCUUCUUCGGGCGGCAGAGGACGACACUGAGUCCUGGAUUCGUGACCCAUCGACUCCCCGCCCGCUAGAUUUGUCGGGAAGGACGUCGGCUACGUCAACCGCCAUCGACAGAGUACAUCCUCGUAUACUGAGCCAGAAGAGACGAACUUGAAUGAGGCGACGACAAAUCGGUGGUAGUGCAACGCUGGAGAAGACGAACACCCUGCCACCAAGUCUGCUCCCCGAGAUUCCAAAGAUGUGUCGAGUCUAGUGUCUAGGUUCAUUCCACACGAAAUGGACCAAGCUGGCGAGGAGGAGCAAUGGCGCAGCCAUUUGAGGAAUUGAUUGGUAUGAGCAGGUUUGUUUGCUGCUUUGGGUGAUUUCUCUCUGUUGGUUCUGUUUCAUUUUACUAUUAUUAUCUUUAUGCUUCUAGAUCCAAGUUGUCUACUUCGAAUAAUGUUGUACUGUAUGGUUGGCAAGUGAAGAACAUUGUGUAGCUUUAGUUUUACUAUGAUGUAGGUACACACGGUUUUGACACUCUUAUUUUUGGUAUGCAACUGCUAUGAUGCCUCUCAAAUCCCAAUGUUGUGUCUUUUAAAGAUUUAUCUAAAAUAUGUUGAAAUUACUACCAAGAGUACUAAGUUUUUCAUCAUUUGUCUGAAACAUGUUGAAAUUGCUACUAAGAGUAGUGAGUGUUGCAUCAUAGCCUCUCAAAUCAAUGGUGUCUUUAAAGAAUGGUAUGACAUGUGUAGAAAUUGCUACUACAAUUGAGGUCCUAGUGCACCAGUAUUGAUGGUAACUUUGUCAAAUUGAUUGAGAUGCGGACGUUUGUGUUAGCAUGGUGCCAUGGUUUGCUCAAUGAAAGUUGUUGCAGUUACUAGUAAGUUCACCUUGUGUUAAAUUCUGAAAAUUAACAGUCACAGUACUAAAUCUAUCAUGUAAAACCUGCUUGAAGCCUUGAACCAUUUCCUAUUUAUAUUAGUGUGUCAUGGUUUUGUCACUUUAGUAUUCAUCAGAAUUUUCUAAGGCCUUAAUAUCUGCUAACUUCAUGGGGCUAACUAUACGUGAACAGAUUUAUGUUUGAAAUGAUGGAUGCCCUGUUCCAGGACGACUGUUGAGUGAUCUUUUUGAUGAGGGUAAGGAGGCUAUUGAUGAAGAAUCAAAAAAUGAAUCUCUGACACAUUUUGAGGAGUCAGAUGAACUUGGACAUGAGAUUCAAGUUUUUUUCAAGUAAGAACUUUGCUCUACAAUCCAGAAAGUUGCCUAGUGCAGAUCAUGUGAAAGAUGACAACUUUUAUGAGCUCCAGCCUGCUGAUUACUACAACUUGAUUUCAAACAGGACAGAGGUUGAAAAUAUUGUCUAGGAUCUUUCAAGUUAUUUUAAGAUGAUGACUAAUUAUUUUCAUUCCUAAUGGAACACCAUUAAUGGGCAUGAAACAUGACACACUCGUUGUGUGUCUAUGUCCAACUGAACAUUAUUAUGGUUGUGUGGUUGUGGCAGCCUCGAUAUUGUCACCUGCAUAGUGGAGGAUGAAGACGUAGCCUAGGGACCAGCUUCUACAUUUUGGGAGAUUGGCUUCUACUCCAUGCCAUGCUUACAACUUACCAAAACAAGAGUUAGUUACAUAGCCAUCCAGGGUCCAGAAUGGUCAUAUCAACAUAGUAUUUUGAAUUUACAGUUAGUUACACCGUGCUUGCAUUUUUUGUUGCUAUCCUAUGCAUACUAAACAGGUCGAGAACACGCCGUAAUUCAGGCCAAAUUCGUUGUAACGAAAAAGAUUGACAAA